Molecule: transfer RNA, 73 nt
Filed under: Minisyncoccota bacterium
Lineage: Bacteria; Bacillati; Minisyncoccota
Also listed under: 3 other names
Description: tRNA-Lys
Rfam family: tRNA
About the family: Transfer RNA (tRNA) molecules are approximately 80 nucleotides in length.
Source: RNAcentral
GCGUCCAUAGCUCAGCUGGUAGAGCAGAUCCCUCUUAAGGAUAAGGUCCCAGGUUCGAUCCCUGGUGGACGCA